This 254-nucleotide non-coding RNA is filed under the name uncultured bacterium. RNAcentral's name for it is "partial 16S ribosomal RNA". It matches the Rfam family "Bacterial small subunit ribosomal RNA", at positions 524 to 776 of the family's 1533-position model. RNAcentral also lists the same sequence under 2 other names. The record is from RNAcentral.
GACGAACCGUGCGAACGUUAUUCGGAAUCACUGGGCUUAAAGCGCGUGUAGGUGGGUUGCCACGUCGGAUGCUGAAAUCCCUCGGCUCAACCGAGGAACGGGCACCGAUACGAGCGACCUGGAGGGGGGUAGGGGGAGCUGGAACUUCCGGUGGAGCGGUGAAAUGCGUUGAGAUCGGAAGGAACGCCCGUGGCGAAAGCGAGCUCCUGGACCUUUUCUGACACUGAGACGCGAAAGCUAGGGGAGCGAACGGG